GCUGGGCGUGAUGGCACAUGCCUGUAAUCCCAGCUCCUCGGGAGGCUGAGGUGGGAGGAUCACCUGAGGUCAGGAGUUCAAGACCAGCUUGGCCAACAUGGUGAAACCUCUCUCUACUAAAAAUACAAAAAUUAGCCGGGGGUGGUGGCGGGCGCCUAUAGUCCCAGCUACUCGGGAGGCUGAGGUGGGAGGAUCACCUGAAGUCAGGAGUUCAAGACCAGCCUGGCCAACAUGGUGAAACCUCAUCUCU
Molecule: small RNA, 250 nt
Filed under: Nomascus leucogenys (northern white-cheeked gibbon)
Lineage: Eukaryota; Metazoa; Chordata; Mammalia; Primates; Hylobatidae
Description: Metazoan signal recognition particle RNA (ENSNLEG00000035692.1)
Source: RNAcentral